Cyanidioschyzon merolae strain 10D is the source of this 1515-nucleotide RNA transcript. RefSeq lists it as hypothetical. The record is from RefSeq and is a predicted model, not a curated record. The transcript has a single exon. NCBI's taxonomy places the organism in Eukaryota, Rhodophyta, Bangiophyceae, Cyanidiales, Cyanidiaceae.
ACCGCGACGCUGAGUCGCUACUGCCUCCUCCAUUCUUUAAGUUUAUGUCGGUGUGUUCGGGGGAACCUCUAGCGGUUGCAACGACACGCUAAGCGUCCGCGUGUAGCCGCGGUCGUACGUCUGCGUUUCUUCAGAUGCGAACAAAGGCGCGGGCAGCUGCGCCUCGAGAUCAUCUCCCGCAGCUUGUUACCGGUACUGGUACCGGAGUUGAGCUUUUGGACGCGAUGUUGGGGCACAAUGGGUACCAGUACCACGGGUAGACGUGUUUCAGGACACGUCUGUGACAUUUGGUGUCUGUAAAGCGUCCGUAGCGACGCUACGUCUGUCGCCAUAUGUUCAAACGGCAGGUUCGGCACCCAGAGGAUCCUUUCAAGGUAGCGUGAACUCCAGCGUGAGGUCUGGCCGGUGGCAGUUGACGGAGCACGGAGGAUCUGGUUCAUCUUGAUAGAUGCUUGCUUUGACGCCAAUAACAUUAGCGUAUGCAAAAUUCCUCCAUUUGAUGGAAUUGAGCCUCCACCAUAAAAAGGUUGUGGUGAAGGUGUCUGUUCGAUGCGAGCGUACCUGCGUCGAGUGGACACUUCGGUGGACACGAUGCACUAGAGCCUUGUUCGUUGGGCGUCUGAAUCAGGCUCCGCAGCUGGAGCAAUGCUGCUGGACCGACGAAGUCUUUUUGCUAACCCAGGGGCAUGCCUUACUGGCUUUGAUGGAACGUGGACGCGUCUGCGGAGGAGCCGAGCUCGUUCCCCUGCGCGUGCACGAGCGCCCUGCGCGCUUCGCACACAGGGACUCGCUUCACGUCUAGCCAGGGUGCGGACGUCGUCGAAGCAGCCGCUUUUGGUUGCUGCGGCUGGGACUACGCGACAGGAGCGGAGCCCAGCUGGAUUCAGCGCUUGAACUGCUCGAGGAAUGCACGAUAGACGUGAGCUUCGCCAGAGACAGCGACGCAGUGGCGCAGACGGCCAAGCGCUGUGAGUGCGUAACUCGGACGACAUUCGCGGUCGCAAGGGGAACGCCUGGAGACCCUAUUCUAGGAAGUUCGGGAUCGAGAGUCGACCGCAGAUUAACAGAGACGGCGAGAGAAACACCGCUUUGAGCGUGCAGCACGCCCGCAACCACGAGAGUGGCUGCGGGCUUCGCUGCUUACCGCUGGAUAGCGGCACCUGUCCUUGCCAACAACUCGAAGCAAGUAUUUUACGAGCAGUGAGUCGGUACGCGCUGGAUUCGCGUUUUCGGAGGUCUCUUGAACGAACCAUCCAGACUCGAAGACAUGCUCAGGGUGUGGCGGCUGGUACGUUGCGCCGGACGGAGCGUCUGUUCAUUUUUCCUUGACGUUCGUUGGAAGAGGAAAAAGAACAGCAGACUCCGCCGCUUUCUGUGCACGUAUUGGCCUACAGAGGUCACGGGUGCACACUGUUGGACUGUACGGAUGGUUUCGCUCUGGGAAUCUUCCUUGGUACCGUACGUGCGCUACGAAUAUACACAGCACACGCCGAACAGUGUCCGCAUGGGUAAACC